GACGAACGCUGGCGGCGUGCUUAACACAUGCAAGUCGAACGGAAAGGCCCUGCUUUUGUGGGGUGCUCGAGUGGCGAACGGGUGAGUAACACGUGAGUAACCUGCCCUUGACUUUGGGAUAACUUCAGGAAACUGGGGCUAAUACCGGAUAGGAGCUCCUGCUGCGUGGUGGGGGCUGGAAAGUUUCGGCGGUUGGGGAUGGACUCGCGGCUUAUCAGCUUGUUGGUGGGGUAGUGGCUUACCAAGGCUUUGACGGGUAGCCGGCCUGAGAGGGUGACCGGCCACAUUGGGACUGAGAUACGGCCCAGACUCCUACGGGAGGCAGCAGUGGGGAAUAUUGCACAAUGGGCGGAAGCCUGAUGCAGCAACGCCGCGUGCGGGAUGACGGCCUGCGGGUUGUAAACCGCAGUCGCCUGUGACGAAGCGUGAGUGACGGUAAUGGGUAAAGAAGCACCGGCUAACUACGUG
This 468-nucleotide ribosomal RNA is filed under the name uncultured bacterium. RNAcentral's name for it is "partial 16S ribosomal RNA". It matches the Rfam family "Bacterial small subunit ribosomal RNA", at positions 28 to 507 of the family's 1533-position model. The record is from RNAcentral.